AAUACUUCACCCUGCGUGAGCGCACAAUCACAUAAACCGUGAGUAUUUCUAUUCGAAACUUGAAAAAAAAAAUAGAAAACUUUGAACAACGGAUCUCUUGGUUCUCGCAUCGAUUAAAAGCGCAGCGAAAUGCGAUACCUAUUGUGAAUUGUUUCCAUCGAGAAUCAACUCGUUCUUGAACGCACCUUGCGCCCGUCGGGUUUCCGGCGGGCAUGCCUGUCUGAACGUCCUUUCCUUCUUGGAACUUUUGUUAAAGAAAGAUCCAAAACUGGCCGGGCCCCUGGCCCGGCCCAAAAAAAACGUUGCGGACGAAGCCUGUUUGACCGGAUUUUUUGGCCGCCCAUUCAAAAAAUGGUAUUGAGCUCGACCUCAAAUCAGGUAGGAGUACCCGCUGAACUUAACCAUAUUGUAAAACGGAGGAAUCUUUCUGAAAUAAUGUAUUAGGUUCUUCCAACUCGUUAUAUCAGCUAGGCAGGUUUAGAAGUAUUUUAGGCUCGGCUUAACAACAAUAAACUAAAAGUUUGACCUCAAAUCAGGUAGGACUACCCGCUGAACUUAAGCAUAUCAAUAAGCGGAGGA
RNAcentral lists this ribosomal RNA (579 nucleotides) under Hansenula anomala. RNAcentral describes it as "eukaryotic LSU rRNA". The stretch from base 78 to 230 matches the Rfam family "5.8S ribosomal RNA". The record is from RNAcentral. Lineage: Eukaryota; Fungi; Ascomycota; Saccharomycetes; Phaffomycetales; Wickerhamomycetaceae.